Non-coding RNA from Pelobates cultripes (western spadefoot toad), 244 nucleotides. NCBI's taxonomy places the organism in Eukaryota, Metazoa, Chordata, Amphibia, Anura, Pelobatidae. The record is from the annotation of a GenBank genome assembly.
AUGUGGCUGUGCUGGCGGCCGCUGGAGGAGCAGGGAUGGCGGCCGCUGGAGGAGCAGGGAUGGCGGCCACUGGAGGAGCUGUUCUGGCGGCCGCAGGGGAAGCUGUGCUCAUUCAGUAGUGCGCAAGGGCGGUGGAGCAGAGACAGCACAGCUUCCCCUGCGGCCGCCAGAACAGCUCCUGCAGCGGCCGCCAUCCCUGCUCCUCCAGCGGCCGCCAUCCCUGCUCCUCCAGCAGCCACCAUCA